GUACUCAGUUGUAGGUACCCUAAGAAUAAGGAUCGGCUAACUCCGUGCCAGCAGCCGCGGUAAUACGGAGGAUCCGAGCGUUAUCCGGAUUUAUUGGGUUUAAAGGGUGCGUAGGCGGGUUGAUAAGUCAGUGGUGAAAGGUUUGCGCUCAACGUAGACAUUGCCAUUGAAACUGUCAGUCUUGAGUACAAAUGAGGUAGGCGGAAUGUGUUGUGUAGCGGUGAAAUGCAUAGAUAUGACACAGAACACCAAUUGCGAAGGCAGCUUACUGGGAUGUAACUGACGCUGAGGCACGAAAGCGUGGGGAUCAAACAGGAUUAGAUACCCUGGUAGUCCACGCAGUAAACGAUGAUUACUAGCUGUUAGCGAUAGAAUGUUAGUGGCUAAGCGAAAGCGAUAAGUAAUCCACCUGGGGAGUACGACCGCAAGGUUGAAA
Molecule: ribosomal RNA, 436 nt
Filed under: uncultured Paludibacter sp.
Lineage: Bacteria; Pseudomonadati; Bacteroidota; Bacteroidia; Bacteroidales; Paludibacteraceae
Description: bacterial SSU rRNA
Rfam family: Bacterial small subunit ribosomal RNA
Source: RNAcentral